Molecule: long non-coding RNA, 229 nt
Organism: Salvelinus namaycush (lake trout)
Lineage: Eukaryota; Metazoa; Chordata; Actinopteri; Salmoniformes; Salmonidae
Exons: 3
Source: RefSeq, a predicted model, not a curated record
UACGGAGUAACGGGGUUGACAAAAGGGCUGACUGGCAGAAAGAGGAGCCAAGCGGAAAUGGGCCUAGCUGAGCUGAACACACACAAUGCCUUGAAGUGGCCCGAGAUUGAGAACCCCAGGUAUUUGAGAGAGAACCCUAUCCCCUUGUCUCCGAUAUUCCUCAAAUCCAGCCUGAAGAAUAGCACUGUGACUGAUGAGCAGACCCCAGUUGCAAGACAGGAGAAAGAGG